GUCCUCUGUUUGGCAGCACAUAUACUGAAAUUGGAACAAUACAGAGAAGAUUAGCUUGGCCCCUUUGUAAGGAUGACACAAAUUCAUGAGGCAGUCACUCUCUUUUU
Small nuclear RNA from Rattus norvegicus (Norway rat), 107 nucleotides. Lineage: Eukaryota; Metazoa; Chordata; Mammalia; Rodentia; Muridae. The record is from Ensembl.